This 194-nucleotide ribosomal RNA is filed under the name uncultured bacterium. RNAcentral's name for it is "partial 16S ribosomal RNA". It matches the Rfam family "Bacterial small subunit ribosomal RNA", at positions 338 to 524 of the family's 1533-position model. The record is from RNAcentral.
CCUACGGGAGGCAGCAGUGGGGAAUUUUGGACAAUGGGGGCAACCCUGAUCCAGCCAUGCCGCGUGAGUGAAGAAGGCCUUCGGGUUGUAAAGCUCUUUCGGCCGGGAAAAAAUCGCCUCUCCUAAUACGGGGGGUGGAUGAUGGUACCGGACUAAGAAGCACCGGCUAACUACGUGCCAGCAGCCGCGGUAAU